Molecule: ribosomal RNA, 458 nt
Filed under: uncultured bacterium
Lineage: Bacteria
Description: partial 16S ribosomal RNA
Rfam family: Bacterial small subunit ribosomal RNA
Source: RNAcentral
CCUACGGGUGGCAGCAGUGGGGAAUAUUGCACAAUGGGGGAAACCCUGAUGCAGCGACGCCGCGUGAGUGAAGAAGUAAUUCGUUACGUAAAGCUCUAUCAGCAGGGAAGAAAUACUGACCUUACGGUCAGCAGACGGUACCUGAGUAAGAAGCCCCGGCUAACUACGUGCCAGCAGCCGCGUUAAGACGUAGGGGGCAAGCGUUAUCCGGAUUUACUGGGUGUAAAGGGAGCGUAGACGGUGUGCCAAGUCUGGAGUGAAAUGCCGCAGCUUAACUGCGGAACUGCUUUGGAAACUGGCGAACUAGAGUGCGGGAGGGGUAAGCGGAAUUCCUAGUGUAGCGGUGAAAUGCGUAGAUAUUAGGAGGAACACCGGUGGCGAAGGCGGCUUACUGGACCGUAACUGACGUUGAGGCUCAAAAGCGUGGGUAGCAAACAGGAUUAGAUACCCUUGUAGUC